UACGUAGGGGGCAAGCGUUAUCCGGAUUUACUGGGUGUAAAGGGAGCGUAGACGGCAGUGCAAGUCUGAAGUGAAAGGCGGGGGCCCAACCCCCGGACUGCUUUGGAAACUGUGCUGCUGGAGUGCAGGAGAGGCAAGUGGAAUUCCUAGUGUAGCGGUGAAAUGCGUAGAUAUUAGGAGGAACACCAGUGGCGAAGGCGGCUUGCUGGACUGUAACUGACGUUGAGGCUCGAAAGCGUGGGGAGCAAACAGG
Molecule: ribosomal RNA, 253 nt
Filed under: uncultured bacterium
Lineage: Bacteria
Description: partial 16S ribosomal RNA
Rfam family: Bacterial small subunit ribosomal RNA
Source: RNAcentral